UACGAAGGGAGCUAGCGUUGUUCGGAAUCACUGGGCGUAAAGCGCACGUAGGCGGAUGUGUCAGUCAGGGGUGAAAUCCCGGAGCUCAACUUCGGAACUGCCUUUGAUACAGCACGUCUUGAGUCCGAUAGAGGUGGGUGGAAUUCCUAGUGUAGAGGUGAAAUUCGCAGAUAUCAGGAGGAACACCGGUGGCGAAGGCGCCACUCUGGGCCGGUACUGACGCUGAGGAGCGAAAGCGUGGGGAGCAAACAGG
This 253-nucleotide ribosomal RNA is filed under the name uncultured bacterium. RNAcentral describes it as "partial 16S ribosomal RNA". It matches the Rfam family "Bacterial small subunit ribosomal RNA", at positions 524 to 776 of the family's 1533-position model. The record is from RNAcentral.